UGGGGAAUUUUGCGCAAUGGGCGAAAGCCUGACGCAGCAACGCCGCGUGGAGGAUGAAGGUCCUUGGAUUGUAAACUCCUGUCAGCGGGGAAAAAGCGAGGUGACCUCAUACGUCAUCGAGUUGAUUGUACCCGCAGAGGAAGCCCCGGCUAACUCUGUGCCAGCAGCCGCGGUAAUACAGAGGGGGCAAGCGUUAUUCGGAAUUAUUGGGCGUAAAGGGCGCGUAGGCGGCUUUUCAAGUGACGGGUGAAAUCCCCCGGCUUAACCGGGGAACCGCCUGUCAGACUGAAUGGCUUGAGACCAGGAGAGGUGAGUGGAAUUCCCAGUGUAGCGGUGAAAUGCGUAGAUAUUGGGAGGAACACCAGUGGCGAAGGCGGCUCACUGGACUGGUACUGACGCUGAGGCGCGAAAGCGUGGGGAGCAAACAGG
Molecule: ribosomal RNA, 429 nt
Filed under: uncultured bacterium
Lineage: Bacteria
Description: bacterial SSU rRNA
Rfam family: Bacterial small subunit ribosomal RNA
Source: RNAcentral